RNAcentral lists this ribosomal RNA (264 nucleotides) under uncultured bacterium. Its description in RNAcentral is "partial 16S ribosomal RNA". It matches the Rfam family "Bacterial small subunit ribosomal RNA", at positions 793 to 1055 of the family's 1533-position model. The record is from RNAcentral.
GUCCACACCCUAAACUAUGCAGACUGGAUGUUGGGCGGCAAUAGUUCAGCAUCUGAGGGAAACCAUUAAGUCUGCCACCUGGGGAGUACGCCAGCAACGGUGAAACUCAAAGGAAUUGACGGGGGGUCCGCACAAGCGGUGGAGUAUGUGGUUUAAUUCGAUGAUACGCGAGGAACCUUACCUGGGCUCGAAUGUUACCGCUAAACCUGUUGAAAGAUGGGGUUCCAGCAAUGGAGAGGUAGCAAGGUGCUGCAUGGUUGUCGU